UUAGAGUUUGAUCCUGGCUCAGGAUGAACUUUAGCGGGAGGCUUAACACAUGCAAGUCGAGGGGGAUUUUGUUUCGCGGAGUAUGAUGGGCACCGGGGUAAGGGUGCCUUAUGCGUGCUGCCCUUGCCCUGUAAAUGGACAUACAGAAAUCGAAACUUGUGCUCCUUUCCCCUAGAAUUCCUUGUGGGCAUCUUUGAUGAGCUCCGCUUCUGAGGAUGGGAUUGCGCUCACUUGACGUCUUCCGGAUGGUGAGGUCACCGCUCCCCACAAUGUGAUGUGUUCGGAUAUGAUGAUCACCGCCCCUCGCACUGGGACUGAGACACGGCCCAGACUCCUACGGGAGGCAGCAGUGAGGAAUAUUGGUCAAUGGAUGCAAGUCUGAUCCAGCCAUCCCGCGUGCAGGAAGACGGCCUUAUGGGUUGUAAAUUGCUUUUUUCGAGGAGCAAUAAGGGUUAUGUAUUGUGUGUAUGAGAUUCCUGUAUGAAUAAGCAUCGGCUAACUCCGUGCCAGCAGCCGCGGUAAUACGGAGGAUCCGAGCGUUAUCCGGAUUUAUUGGGUUUUAAAGGGUGCGUAGGCGGCCAUUUAAGUCAGCGGUGAAAUUUUGCGGCUUAACUGUAACAGUGCCGUUGAUACUGUUUGGCUAGGAUUUGGUUGUAGUGUGCGGAAUGAGUGGUGUAGCGGUGAAAUGCUUAGAUAUCACUCAGAACACCGAUUGCGAAGGCAGCCCACUAAGUCAUUAUUGACGCUGAGGCACGAAAGUGUGGGGAUCGAACAGGAUUAGAUACCCUGGUAGUUCCCCCCGGAAACGGAGAUUCCUUGCCGUUGGGGAAUCUCAGUCGGGGGGCCAGGGGAAACCAUAAGGUAUCCCCCUGGGGGGUACGGCUGCCAGGGUGGAAAUUCAAAGAAAUGGCGGGGGGCCGCCCCAACGGGGGGACCAGUUGUUUUAUUUGGAGGUUCCGGGGGAACCUUUCCCCGGCUUGAAAGGUAGCGAUGACUAUUAGAGGAGACGCUAUAUGUCCUUCGGGGCACGUAUCGAGGUGCUGCAUGGUUGUCGUCAGCUCGUGCCGUGAGGUGUCGGGUUAAGUCCCAUAACGAGCGCAACCCUUGUCAUUAGUUGCCAUCGGGUCAAGCCGGGGACUCUAAUGAGACUGCCACCGUAAGGUGAGAGGAAGGGGGGGAUGACGUCAAAUCAGCACGGCCCUUAUGUCCGGGGCGACACACGUGUUACAAUGGGAGGUACAGAGGGCAGCUAUCCCGCGAGGGGAUGCCAAUCUCCAAAACCUUUCUCAGUUCGGAUUGCAGUCUGCAACUCGACUCCAUGAAGGUGGAUUCGCUAGUAAUCGCGCAUCAGCCAUGGCGCGGUGAAUACGUUCCCGGGCCUUGCACACACCGCCCGUCAAG
RNAcentral lists this ribosomal RNA (1401 nucleotides) under uncultured bacterium. Its description in RNAcentral is "partial 16S ribosomal RNA". It matches the Rfam family "Bacterial small subunit ribosomal RNA". The record is from RNAcentral.